GAUGAACGCUGGCGGCGUGCCUAAUACAUGCGAGUCGAGCGAACAGAUGAGGAGCUUGCUCCUCUGACGUUAGCGGCGGACGGGUGAGUAACACGUGGAUAACCUACCUAUAAGACUGGGAUAACUUCGGGAAACCGGAGCUAAUACCGGAUAAUAUAUUGAACCGCAUGGUUCGAUAGUGAAAGACGGUUUUGCUGUCACUUAUAGAUGGAUCCGCGCCGCAUUAGCUAGUUGGUAAGGUAACGGCUUACCAAGGCAACGAUGCGUAGCCGACCUGAGAGGGUGAUCGGCCACACUGGAACUGAGACACGGUCCAGACUCCUACGGGAGGCAGCAGUAGGGAAUCUUCCGCAAUGGGCGAAAGCCUGACGGAGCAACGCCGCGUGAGUGAUGAAGGUCUUCGGAUCGUAAAACUCUGUUAUUAGGGAAGAACAAAUGUGUAAGUAACUAUGCACGUCUUGACGGUACCUAAUCAGAAAGCCACGGCUAACUACGUG
This 497-nucleotide ribosomal RNA is filed under the name uncultured bacterium. RNAcentral's name for it is "partial 16S ribosomal RNA". It matches the Rfam family "Bacterial small subunit ribosomal RNA", at positions 28 to 507 of the family's 1533-position model. The record is from RNAcentral.